AUUGAACGCUGGCGGCAUGCCUUACACAUGCAAGUCGAACGGCAGCACGGGAGCAAUCCUGGUGGCGAGUGGCGAACGGGUGAGUAAUACAUCGGAACGUGUCCAGUAGUGGGGGAUAGCCCGGCGAAAGCCGGAUUAAUACCGCAUACGACCCACGGGUGAAAGCGGGGGAUCGCAAGACCUCGCGCUAUCGGAGCGGCCGAUGUCAGAUUAGCUAGUUGGGGGGUAAAGGCCUACCAAGGCGACGAUCUGUAGCUGGUCUGAGAGGACGACCAGCCACACUGGGACUGAGACACGGCCCAGACUCCUACGGGAGGCAGCAGUGGGGAAUUUUGGACAAUGGCGCAAGCCUGAUCCAGCCAUGCCGCGUGCGGGAAGAGGGCCU
RNAcentral lists this ribosomal RNA (385 nucleotides) under uncultured bacterium. Its description in RNAcentral is "bacterial SSU rRNA". It matches the Rfam family "Bacterial small subunit ribosomal RNA", at positions 29 to 417 of the family's 1533-position model. The record is from RNAcentral.